GGUAAAAUGGCUGAAGUAGGCAAUGAGUUGUAGCCUCAUUUAUGAAUUGUUACUAAUUCUUUUAUCA
RNAcentral lists this transfer RNA (67 nucleotides) under Chiton albolineatus. Its description in RNAcentral is "tRNA-Tyr". Lineage: Eukaryota; Metazoa; Mollusca; Polyplacophora; Chitonida; Chitonidae. The record is from RNAcentral.